This 910-nucleotide ribosomal RNA is filed under the name Pella caliginosa. RNAcentral describes it as "SSU rRNA". It matches the Rfam family "Eukaryotic small subunit ribosomal RNA", at positions 448 to 1287 of the family's 1831-position model. The record is from RNAcentral. Lineage: Eukaryota; Metazoa; Arthropoda; Insecta; Coleoptera; Staphylinidae.
CUCCCAGCACGGGGAGGUAGUGACGAAAAAUAACGAUACGGGACUCAUCCGAGGCCCCGUAAUCGGAAUGAGUACACUCUAAACACGUUCCCGAAAAUCAAUUGGAGGGUAAGUCUGGUGCCAGCAGCCGCGGUAAUUCCAGCUCCAAUAGCGUAUAUUAAAGUUGUUGCGGUUAAAAAGCUCGUAGUCGAAUGUGUGUCCCGCGCCGCCGGUUCAUCGCUCGCGGUGUUCAACUGGCGUGUCUCGCGGGACGUCCUGCCGGUGGGAUCACGUAUCGUUUCGGCGGUGCGUCUCCCAACUCGUCUCCGCCUUGCGCGGUUGCGAAUCCCAUCGCGGUGCUCUUUAUUGAGUGUCGAGGUGGGCCGGCACGUUUACUUUGAACAAAUUAGAGUGCUUAAAGCAGGCCAGUUUUGCCUGAAUAUUCUGUGCAUGGAAUAAUGGAAUAGGACCUCGGUUCUAUUUUGUUGGUUUUCGGAACCCCGAGGUAAUGAUUAAUAGGAACGGAUGGGGGCAUUCGUAUUGCGACGUUAGAGGUGAAAUUCUUGGAUCGUCGCAAGACGGACAGAAGCGAAAGCAUUUGCCAAAAACGUUUUCAUUGAUCAAGAACGAAAGUUAGAGGUUCGAAGGCGAUCAGAUACCGCCCUAGUUCUAACCAUAAACGAUGCCAGCUAGCGAUCCGCCGACGUUCCUCCGAUGACUCGGCGGGCAGCUUCCGGGAAACCAAAGCUUUUGGGUUCCGGGGGAAGUAUGGUUGCAAAGCUGAAACUUAAAGGAAUUGACGGAAGGGCACCACCAGGAGUGGGGCCUGCGGCUUAAUUUGACUCAACACGGGUAACCUCACCAGGUCCAGACACCGGAAGGAUUGACAGAUUGAGAGCUCUUUCUUGAUUCGGUGGGUGGUGGUGCAUGG